UGAGGGUGAUCUAGCCAUGAUAUCUAUCACUCAUUGAUUACCAGGGUUGAUUUGGUCUGGCUGGCUAUGCAGGUAUCCCCUGCUUCCCUCGCCAUUCAGUGUGCAUCACUUCAGACCUCCAAACUCAGAGGAAGAGAGCAACCAUCUCAGACAAAGUGUGCAAUUUUUUGGUCAAGGGUUUAAAAUA
RNAcentral lists this small nuclear RNA (187 nucleotides) under Anolis carolinensis (green anole). Its description in RNAcentral is "7SK RNA". It matches the Rfam family "7SK RNA", at positions 6 to 199 of the family's 331-position model. From Rfam's summary of the family: 7SK was discovered as an abundant small nuclear RNA in the mid-70s but a possible function has only recently been suggested. Two independent studies have found that 7SK RNA binds the CDK9/cyclin T complex (known as elongation factor P-TEFb). The record is from Rfam by way of RNAcentral. Lineage: Eukaryota; Metazoa; Chordata; Lepidosauria; Squamata; Anolidae.